GAUGAACGCUGGCGGCGUGCCUAAUACAUGCAAGUCGAGCGAACAGACGAGGAUCUUGCUCCUCUGACGUUAGCGGCGGACGUGUGAGUAACACGUGUAUAACCUACCUAUAAGACUGGUAUCACUUCGGGAAACCGGAGCUAAUACCGGAUAAUCUAUUGAACCGCAUGGUUCAUUAGUGAAAGACGGUUUUGCUGUCACUUAUCGAUGGUUCGGCGCUGCAUUAGCUAGUUGUUAAGGUAACGGCUUACCAAGGCGACGAUGCGUAGCCGACCUGAGAGGGUGAUAGGCCACACUGGAGCUGAGCCACGGUCAAGACUCCUACGGGAGGCACCAGUCGGCAAUGGUCCGCAAUGGUGGAAAGUUUGACACAGCAAGGCCGCGUGAGUGAUGAAGGUCUUGGGAUCGUAAUACUCUGUUAUUAGGGAUAAACAAAUGUGUAAGUAACUAUGCACGUAUUGACGGUAACGAAUAAAAAAGCCACGGCUAACUACGUG
Molecule: ribosomal RNA, 497 nt
Filed under: uncultured bacterium
Lineage: Bacteria
Description: partial 16S ribosomal RNA
Rfam family: Bacterial small subunit ribosomal RNA
Source: RNAcentral